Molecule: ribosomal RNA, 228 nt
Filed under: Triticum aestivum (bread wheat)
Lineage: Eukaryota; Viridiplantae; Streptophyta; Magnoliopsida; Poales; Poaceae
Description: partial small subunit ribosomal RNA
Source: RNAcentral
AUGUGGGACAUGUCGGACUCAGAAGCCGAAGACCCAAACAAGAGACGGAACUACAUGGUGACAAGAUACAUAGCAGAAGGGGUGUAUUACUGCCAGUGCUGCAAGUUUGAAAGAGAUGGUGUGAUUUGUUGCCAUAUUCUAACGGUAAUGGACAUGAAUGGCAUGAAACAGGUGCCACCAAGUCGUUCAUAUCUGAAAAAGAGGAGAAACUUUUGCAAAAAGAUGUAA